GGCGGGAGGAGGAGGGAGCGGUGUAAAUGGUGGGCGAGUGAGCGAAGGGGAGAUGAUUCACACCGCCUCCGAGCCCCUCCGGCCCCUGCCUGCCCUAACGCUGCGGCGCGGCCGCCCGCUGCUCCCAGGCCCUCAUGCUCUUCUCGACUGACGGGCUGGGCAUGGGGCUGAAGCGGGGGGGCUCCGUGUCCGCCCAGCACCACCGCCAGACGCUCCAGCAGCUAGCGGGCUCGGCUGAGCAGGGUCCGGCCGCGAGCAGGGGCCCACCGACCUCGGCUACACCGCAGAAACCCCCGAGGCAGGAGAGGCUGAAAACCUGGCUGUCUGUGGAUGAAAUCCAACUUCCAUUCUGAGCUCCCAGGGAGACCCAGCCUUAGUGUUAGUAAUCACUUACCACUAAUGCUGCCCAAAACAAUUUUUAGAGCUUAAAAUACAGAUUUCAUACAUAAUACAUAGUACAGCACGUUGUCUUGCAAGUACUUGUAAAUUGUGAGCCAGAUAUCUAAUAUACUGUUGGGUAUUAAAGCAUGGAUAUUUUAGCAUCUGAACAGACUCCUGCCCAAAAGCAUUCACAAAUUAAAGACCCGAUCCAGCAUUGUAAAUUGAAAACUUUCAAUGGCUUCUCUGGGAAUUGUGUCCCAGGAAUGCAGUAUCUAGCCUCACAGUUGGAUAAAACAGAUGCAGCACAUUCAGUAACAAGUUGAUAGCAUGUACAGUCAGAAAAAAUAUUGUAUAAGAAUGGAACGUUCGUAAUCAUUUUAUACCCUUUGUAUCUAAGAUACUCUGACUCAUGGUUGCUUCAUUUACUGACUGAAAUAAAAUUUUUGGCUUCUGUUACCUUGGCGGUUGCUGACACAAUUAUGGUACAGCAAGCUGAGGAGUCUUUUGGAUCUUCCAUUUCCUUUACUAAGUUCCAGCUGAAGAAUUUUAAUUAGUAUUUGAGCCAGAAAGAAAAUAGUGUGGCUUAAAAAUCUCAGGUCCAGUUUGAAGGGUCAUCAGUUCUAAGCAGCCUCUUUUUAUUUGUAAACUGAGCAAAUGGCUUACAGAAAAUUUAGAAGACAAAAAUAAAAAGCGUUGAUGUUCAAGUGAAGCCAUUUUUAGUCAAUUUCCGCAGUGGAACUGUAAUUUAUAACACUGCUCCCUUUAUCCAUCUGAAUGUGCCCCAUUCAUUUGUAGUAACAUUGAAUCAAACAAUUCUCUUGUUUUAAGACCACAUCUGUUUUACUGUGCCCCCUGCACCAAUUUUAAUUAUGUGGCAGAUCUGAUUGGAUUCAGCACCUGCAAGUGUUCCCUUUGGGAAUUCCAAUUAGCUUAUAAAACAUCUACUCGAUUGCAUUCUUUAAAUAAAAGCAUUGUUUUAUCCUAACAACAGGAAUAUUAAUGUGUAGAAUAAAAAGGGGUUUUAAUGUGAUAAGCAGCGUAUGUUGUUUGUGUAUGUGUCUUCCAUAAGCUUAGAGGAAAAUGGUAAUCCUGAAACCUAAUUUCUCCAGGCUCAGCAGAUGUCUGUCCUGUGUUAGUCUGUUUCUUCACGAACAGCUGUCUCACAAGUGCCUCCCCUUGUCUCCACAGAAUGUCUUUUGUUUAAUAAUUUCUUGAUAUGUUCUCUCCUGGUCCCACUAAGACAAGCUUUUAAAAAAUCUUUUUUGGUACCUAGAAGUAUUCUCUUUAUAGUUGAAUCGGUUUUGAAGAAUUUAGCUAAAGCUAUAGAACUAGCCUCUCAGCUAGUUUCCUAGUAGCAUUUCUACUCAACUAAGCAAAUGGCUGCAUAUAAUUAACAUUUUCAGUUAUAAUUAACAUUUGCAACAACAAUUUAAUAUUAGCAAAAUUGUUCGUUAUUACAGAUAUGCUUCAGAAUAUGCUUCUGAAAGCACCGUCUGUGAAAGCCAGUAACCUGUCUGGAGCAGGGAUCUUGAGGUCUCGGGGCAUAUGGCAGAAAGCGCAGCCCUCUAGCGGCAGAGGUCACGGGUAGUUUUUGCAAGCUGUGAUUUUAUCACGGGUGAGGGAUAACGCAAUAGUUUGGUUUUUUGGGUUUUUUUUGGAGGGGGGUUGGCGGGGGAGAGGUGGAAGCGAACUACCCAAGAUACUGCCUAGUGUUGCUAUCAGCCUCCUGUAUUUUUCAGGGUCUGAAGUACCUGUGGAAAUAGUGGAGGCCUGUUGUACAGCUUUGUUCCCACUCUGCCAUGAUUUCUGUGGAGGAAGGACCAAUGGAAAAAUUUUGAAAUCUCUGCUAUCAGCAGAAUUUCCCUUUUUUUUUUUCUCUAAUCUGCUUCCCUGCUAUUCUUUUCCAGCCAGUUCCAGACUGGUAUAUCUACCCAGUUGUUCUUCAAGCUGUUCUGAGAUCUCAAUUCCUUUUCCUGUUUCUUUCAGUUAUCUCCUACCAGUUAAUAUAUUCUGUAACUUCAGAAAGAAUUAGUUCAGUGAUAGUAUGGAAUGCAAGGUCAGUUUGCCAGCCUUAUUUCUAAGAACACUCAUGUCAGAGGUGUGAAUGCUCUCUCACAGGCAUGAGAUCUGUCCUUAGAAAUGACAGGGAUUAGAAAGAGGCAUAAACCAAAGUAAUGAAAUAUAUAUGUUAACACAUAGAAGUCCACAGGGUAACUUUACAUCGAUUACCUCAGUAAACACCUCCUAACCUGAUAAGGUUCACUGAGCAUCAAAAUAUAUGAAUCAAAUGGGGGCCUGUUUCAUGUUUUAGUGGUUCAGUGAUUACCUUUGGAACCCAACUCAAUUCUGUUUCUUGUAGAGGUGAUGGAUACCUCCUCUAGCUAAUAGAAUGAAUGGCUUGUUUUUCCUCUGAUAGGAAAUAUGACAGAACCCAGUAAUCAUUAAAUGAAAAAUGAUAUCUCUUAAACAUCCAAAGUAGAUAAAAGAAAACAAAUUCUGUUUUUAUUCACAAUAAUACUGGUAUUGGGAGUUUUUCAUUAUCAAACAAUUGCUGUGGCAAUUGAUGUCUGGCAAACCUUUGCUCCACUAGAACUACAGUUACUUAAAAACUGAAAAUAUAACUUACUAUUUCAAGCCUUUAACAUCUGCCUUCUGUUUAUGUAGUCUUUUUUUCUGCAGUAGUCUAUCAGUUAAACUACAGUCAUUUUUAUUAAACCAUCCAAGUGUUCUUUGUUUGAAAACUUCAUGAACCAUUCGUCAGUAAAUAUUUUUAAAUCUUACUGGAAUUUCUAAAUUUCAUCAGUGUUAAUCUUAGGAAAAUCAUACCCAGAUUUAAAGAAGGAAGCCGAACAUCUCAUUUAGAAAGAAAGAAGACUGAUCAUCCAUUUUCCAGUAUUUACAUCCCCUGUACUGUUCACACCUGUAUUGGAUACACAGUACAGGCAACAGCUAAAUCCUUUCAUAUUGUAGAUUGUUAUUGUUUGGUAGCUUUCUUUGCUUUCUUUCUUUGUGGAUGGUGACUUCACAGUGGUAAUAAUUUGACCAUACAAUUUAUCAUAAUAUGAGUAUAUUAACCAAAAUUCUCUGCGUAGAAGUGGAAGGAGAGAGUGAGUAUAGAUAAUCAAUGGCUACUUCUGCUGUCUUAGCAGAGGGAUCUCCUGCUUCUUCCUACUCCACAGUGUUCAUCAAAAUUCUUCAUUCCUACAGAUGUAGAUCAGUUUUAUAGGCUAUUCCUGUGUUUUUUCUAUUUUGAGGUUACCUAAUAACAUACCCUGAUGUCAGUAUGAAAAAUAAGGUAACCAUGGAACAAGAUCAUCUUUUGUCUCCUCCAAGGAAUUGACUAGGAACAUGGUACAAUCCAUAAAACUCCAGUGGCCAGAUAAUUUUCCCAAAAAGUCAUCUCCACAGUGAUUUUGCUGUACAGUAAGUGCUUUUAUUUCUUAGAAUGAAAGAAACUGAAGACUUGAUAUCAACAGUUUUUCAAGAGUUGUAUUCUUUUUUCCUGUUUACUCAUUUAUUUUUCAAAUACUGAAAUAAAUGAAUCAGAGAUUAAAACAGAUACAAGGCGGGAGUAAUUCAGUGGUAAUGAAAUAACGUUGUAACCUAGUAGGUGAGAAAUAGCAGCAGUUUAUGUCAGUUUACAGUGGUGCUGACUGCAUACAUGUUUGCACCGUAUUACAAAAGAAUGUCAGUGAAGCAGCACAGCCAGCUAUCACUCCAAAUUCUUAAAGAUGUACUCAUCUAAGUGCUGUACAGUGAAUAGGGUACUGUUAAGGGAAUCAGUAUACCUGUUUUUAAUCUCUGCUGUUAGAACUGAUAUUGCAGUAUCACUAUUUUAUGCCUCAUUUUGCCCACCUUCCACUGUCUUACUUAUUUGAAAUUUUGACAUUUUAGGGUAAAGGAAAGAUGAAAAAGAAACAUGAACAGAGAAGUCACUUUCUUGGAUCUUGUUGUGAAGCCUGGUCCUCUGCAAUACUAUACCAUUUCCUGUGAACUGAAAGAAGUUAAAUAAUGUGGUAACCUUCACGUAGUUGUAAGGGCAUCUCUACUGAUGCUCUGUCAUGUUCUCAAAGAUACUGAUACAGUCUUGGUUGUUCACAUGAAUUAAAACAAGUGAUAACAGGUCAUAACUUCAAAUAUAGUCUAAUGACACAGGAUCCUAGGAUUUUUUGAAGCCUUGAAUUUUGCUAUAGUUCUGUUGACAGUGAGAGUUAUUUUAGCAAAUGAAAAGAAUGGAAAGGGAAUAAUAUUUCAGACCAUUAAAGGUAUGUACUAGUAAAAUUACACUAGCAAACUCUGUUAACGACCAACAAAAAUACAUUUUUAUCAGUAUAAUUUGUAAUCAACUUUCCAAAUCAUAAGCUAUUCUGGCAGAAGUAACCUUUUUUGUGAGUAGAAUAUUAGCAUAGCAAAAGGAUUUUUGCCAAUGAAAAGCUAAUUAAAGUCACAUCUGUAAUAUCAUUGCAAUAGCAAAAGCUCCUAAUAAAGAUUUGGACAUCUUUAAUAAUAUUUUUAAAGACUUAGUGUAUAAAAAUGCAUAUGUCAAUUGACUAAAAAUUAGUUUUCAGCACAGAAAGAUUUUAGGCAGUUGUUACUACCUUCAAGAAUACAAGGUUAUGCUGGGAACUUCAGCUGAGUCUUCCCUGUGGUUUAGCAAAUGCCUUAAAGUUUGCUCUUAAGAAAUUAUUUUGCUUCACCAAUAUAAGUUGAUUAUUCCAGUGCUUUAUAGCUCUGUCUGUGCGAAAAUAAUUAUUUCAAAAUAACUGUGGAUUGGAAAUUCUAGUAGAGGAGAGUAAAUACAUAAAACUUAGUAUAAAUUGGCCUGAGUGAUUUGGCACAUAAUCUCACUGUUUGCCAUAAAAACAUACAUCUGUGUGUCAGCGGCACACAAAGGCUAUCUGGUCUGAGUGAAAUGUAGGGAUUAGACAUAAUGCUGCCUAUUUGAGACAAAGUGUAUUCCUUAGUGCAGUGAGGUUAGAACAGAUAUUCAAUAAGCAGUACAAAUCUGUCUAAAUUAUUGAGUUACCAUUUUGAGAAAAAAGGAGGUAGUGGCGAAUUAUUAAUUACUUUGAGGUUUAUUCAUCUUACCAUUCUGUUGCAAAAUAUAAAUGAGUUUGAUUUAUAAUUCACAAAGACCAAUAUAGUGAAAUUUGUAUAUAUGUUUGUAAUUGGAUGCAUGACUUUAAAUCCAAAAAACAUAGAACAACUGAUAUGCUGUAAAAAAAGUGUAUGUCUAUCUACCUUGUUGAAUUAAUGCUACAUUUCUAUCUAUUUCAAAGGAUGACAGCAGCAUUGCUUCAGUAUUGCAGAUUUAAGCCUCCAAAUCUCAUCCAAGCUUACUAUAAAACAGUAGAAAUCUAUCACAGCCCUGAUUUUUUUUUUUGUAUAUGUGAGCUCCUAAGCAUUUUUCAGAUAAACUGUAUAUUAUUUUAAAUGUUCCACAUACAUAUAUUAUUUGUAGAAAAGUUUUUCUUUUUUCUGCUUUUUUUUUUUUUUCUUUUCUUGAAAACCCUCCAGGCUGACAAUAGAAAUCCAUGGACCUACUGGGUGCAGACAGUUCUGUUGACUUGAAGGGGCUUUAAGUCACUCAAUAUGAAAUAUGUAGGGGGAAAGAUAAGUAGAGAAAGGAAGGAAAAUAUAUAAAAGAUAUUAAGAUAUUAACUGUAAGGCCUUCGUACCAUAAGAGAAAGUAUCUUUAUAUUCUAGUGAUGGGCAAUUUGAAUUAGUUUUGCAUAUAUAUAUUUUCAUAUAGAGGGAGAGAUAUGGAGUGUCUAGGAAUGUAUAAUUUAUCAUUUCUAAUAAAUUAUAUAUAAACAAAAGAACAGCCAAUAUAUAAUUAAAAUUUGGCAGGUACAGAAGUGAAAACUAAAGACAUGCAUUCCAACAAUUCAAAAUCCAAGUUAAGGUGAAAAUCUUUAGAUAGCUGUUUUGCAUACUGAUAACAAAAAAGAUACGAGCAUGAUAUUAUAGAAAGUUGUAUAUGAUAUAUGUAUAUGUACAUAUAUUACCAAAAAAAAAAAAAAAAGUGUGAUUGUUUUUCCUCUCAAUUUUCUAUGGAGUAUUUUGUUUCUUGUAUUUCAGCCAAAUAGGAAGAUUUCCUGUUUCAAAACUUCUAAAUAUUUGUUUUCUUCUUUUUAUUCUUAUUUUAAUUUAGGGAUUUAAGUAGUUUCAACUGGAACAAAGAAAUUCAUAUGUUGAAACAGUAAAAAGAAAAUUACUGCAGAAGUGAUUCAUUGUAAGUGAGAUGAAUGUCCUUACAAAGCACAAAUGAGAAAACACAGAAAAAGGAUCAUUGUGCAUAUUAGCAACACUGCUUAUAGAUUCAUCAUGGCUCACAACAAAGGUAUUUAUAAGUGGACCUCCUGCCUCUGUCACAUGCUGUCAUUGCUUUGGAUUGACUGCUGUUAGAUUUCUGUAAUCCUGAGCCCUGGGAUCUUGUCCUACAUGUUUACCCCACUUGAUAUGCCUGUUAGUAAGUAUUUAAAAUGGAAAUGAACUCUAAGCUUUGUAUCAGUUUAUAACAAAGGAUUUUAAUCCCUUAAAACUCAUAUUUAUAAUUUUUUUAAUAUAGUUUAUAAAAUAAGUGUUCAAUCUGAUAGCUUACAUUUGCCAGUUUUCCCAGUUAAGGUUGGUUACUGCCUAGAAUUUUUUACCUUGUUAGGAUGUCAUGGCAAUGAAAUCAAGGAAGAUGUUCAUGGAUGAAGUAGAAUAACAGCAGCCACAAGGCGCAUUUGUAAUAGAAAGCGUUGACAGCUUUCAUAACUGUAACUUACUUGUAAUAUAGAAAACAAUAAUAUUUUGUGCUGUAGAGGGUUGAUGACAGAUACAGAUAGACUACAACUACUACUUGUGUGUGUAUGUUGAGAUGUUAAAAAGUCCAUUAAAACUAUCACAUCCCAUCCCACCUCAAAGGUCUUUGUUCAAAUCAUAGAAUCAUGUAAUGGUUUGUGUUGGAGGGUACCUUAAAGAUCGUAUAGAUCCAAGUCUCCUGCCAUAGGCAGGGACACCUUCUGAUAGAUCAGGCUAACCAAAGCCCCAUCCAACAUGGUUAUGAACACUUCCAAGGAUGAGGUAUCCACAACAUCUCUGGGCAACCUGUUCCAAGGCCUCACCAUCCUUGUAAUAAAUAAUUUAUUCCCAUGAUGUAAUCUAAAUCUACCCUCUUUUAUUUUAAAGCCAUUAUCUCUUGGCUUUUCACUCCCAGAUAAAGGGUAUCUCCCUGUCAUUCCUGUUGGCCUCCUUUAAGGACUGGAAGGCCAUCAAAUGGACUCCAAUAGUCUUCUCUAAGCUAAACAACCCCUACUCUCUUAGCCUGUUUUCAUAGAAAUGCUCCAGCCUUCUGAUCAUCUUCUGAGUCUUCUGGACUCAUUUUAACAAUUUGUUUUUUGUACCAGCUCCAAAGCUGAAUGCCAUAGUUCAGGCACAAACUCACAAAAGGGCAGCAGAGAGGAAGAAUCAUCUCCAUUGACCUGGUGGUCACUAUUCAUUUGAUGUAGCCCAGGAAGCAAGUGGCUUUCUUUACUGCAAGCAUACACUGCCUGCUCAUUUUGGCUUUUUCAUCCAACACUGGUAAGUCCUUCUCCACAGGGCUGUUCUCAAUCCAUUCAUCACCCAGCCUUUAUACGUGCUUGGGAUUGCCCUGACUCAGGUGCAGCACCUUGCCCUUGGCCUUCUUGAACUUUAUGAGGUUAGCACAGGCUCAGUUCUCAAGCCUCUAAAGGUCCUCCUAGAUGGCCUCACGUACCUCCAGUGUGUCAGCCACACCAGAUCACUCUCUGCAAACUUACUGAGGGUGCACUCCAUCCUAUUGUCCACGUCACUGACAGAGAUGUUAAGUAAUACUGAUCCUAAUACCAACCCUUGAAGGACCAAACAGAUCUACUGCUGGUCUCCACAAAGAUAUCUUGCUGUUGACUGUAACUCUUUGAGUAGGACCCUACCCACCAAGUGGACUACCUGUUAAAUCCACGUUUCUACAGUUUGGAGACAAGGAUGUUAUGUGGGACAGUGUCAAACGCUUCACACAAGUCAAAUCUUGGUAGAUUACAUCAAUUCUACUUCCCUUAUCCACUAGCACUGUAACUUUGUUUCAUAAGACCACCAAAUUUGUCAGACAUUAUUUGCCUUUAGUGAAGCCAUGGUGGCAUACUAGCCAUUCUCCAGGUGUCUUAGCAUAGUUUCCAGGAUCUGCCCAUAUUUCCUGCCUAAUUAACUGCUCAGUCUAAAAAAUAUUUUUUUUCCCCAAUGAAUUUACUGUGAUUUUUGACUACUUACUAUUUUAUGAAGGUGUGACAACUGGUAGUACUAAACUAUUGUGUGUGUUAAGGAAAGCAUGCAACAUGGUGAUGCUUGAAAAUGAGUAUGUUAAAGCUUCAUCAAAUGUUAGUAUCUACCUGUAGUAGUAAAAGUGUAAGCAGUAAACACAGGAAAAAAGAAAUUAUUUUGUAUCAGAAUUGGGAAGAUUUGGUUCAGUUAUUCAAAUCCUCAUUCAUGUUAUACAUAUAUGUAGUUAUAUUUAACACUUUUUUCCCCAAAACAAUCAAAACACCAACGUUUUCUUCUGCUUUUCCACAACCUUUUAUACAGAAGAUUUCUUCUACUAAAUUAUAAUGUUGAUGGCUUUAGGAAAUAGUUAUACCUCAAAUGCUUGUAUAUGUCUUGUAUGAAUGGAAAGAUUAUUGUAAUUAUCUUUGGGACUGCAUGGUUGUUUUAUUCAUUAUUACAUCAUUAUACUGUGGAGGAACUGGGUUGUAAUAUAUAUGUCCAAAGAUUAUGCAUCACUUAAAAAUAGUUAAAAGGAAUUUAUCUCUUCAUUACAAUUGUAACAGUAAUGAAAAAUAAAGCUGUCAGCUUUCCAGGAACAUUUUGUUUAUUUAGAACCUCUAAGAUUUCGUAGGCAAGUAUGUCACAUAAUCAAACAGAAAAGCUUGGAAUUAUAGAUUCUGCAACACUGUGUUAUAUUGUGUGGAAGUCAUUUAUGAAAAAGAAUAACUAUUCUCAUAGUAUUCAAUGUCAUCUUAAUAAAACACAUGAUGACAGCAGGCAUUAGUUGAAUUGAAGUUUGAAUAUAUUUUAUUAUGAUUGUUUUUGGCAUUCAGUUUAAUGAAACAAUAUUCUUUGGGAAUCCUGACAUUUGAAAACAAAGCUGAAGAUUGUAAUUAUUUUAUGAAAUUAAACAGUUCUCCUUUGUAUAGUGAAUUACAGUAAGUUUUCUUUAUAAGAUCUUAAAUGAUUGGAAUUUCAUUUUAAUUUGCAAAGCCUUUAUAAUAAAAAUGAUUAUGUAUUAUAAGACAAGUAUAUACAUCUAUGUACAUGCAUGCAUUUUUAUAUAUAUAAAUAAAGCAGAUUCUCAUUAA
This is a long non-coding RNA of Gallus gallus (chicken), 9737 nucleotides long. RefSeq lists it as uncharacterized. The transcript is spliced from 2 exons. Lineage: Eukaryota; Metazoa; Chordata; Aves; Galliformes; Phasianidae. The record is from RefSeq and is a predicted model, not a curated record.